Molecule: long non-coding RNA, 378 nt
Filed under: Ovis aries (sheep)
Lineage: Eukaryota; Metazoa; Chordata; Mammalia; Artiodactyla; Bovidae
Description: lncRNA (ENSOARG00000025226.1)
Source: RNAcentral
AUGUGCAAGAUCGCAUCAAGGAUCGCAUGUCAACUCCAAGGAGGUGACUGGUGGUCCCUUUUUCUAGACAAGGCAACUGGGCUAAAUUUUGAACCCCACUUCAAGUGCAGAAGGGCUGAGAGGAGCUACUCCAUGUUCAAUGUCAAGAGGGUGGUCAUAGCUUUUCUUCCAAGGAGAAAAGUUUCUAAUUUUGUGGCUGCAGUCACCAUCUGCAGUGGUUUUAGAGACCAAGAAAACAAAGUCUAUUACUGUUUCCACUGUUUCCCCAUCUAUUUGCCAUGAAGUGAUGGGACCGGAUGCCAUGAUCUUAGUUUUCUGAAUGUUGAGCUUUAAGCCAACAUUUUCACUCUCCUCUUUCACUUUCAUCAAGAGCUCUUU